Molecule: long non-coding RNA, 292 nt
Organism: Populus euphratica (Euphrates poplar)
Lineage: Eukaryota; Viridiplantae; Streptophyta; Magnoliopsida; Malpighiales; Salicaceae
Exons: 2
Source: RefSeq, a predicted model, not a curated record
AAUUAAACAGAAUUAGGUUGAACACUAACAAUAAUAGCAUUUCCAGGAAUUAACAAAAAAAAAAUUUGAUAGUUAACAUACAAGCAGUUCUACUCAUCACAGCCAAAAAAUCAAUAAUCCCAACUUCUAAAACAGGCAUAGGACUGAAGAAAAAUAGAACCAUAUGAUAAGAAAGUCAGAUUCAACCCUAUUCCAGCCCUUCACCAAUAAAGUAGAUCCAAAUGGAAAAGCUGUAAGACAAGACAAUGAAAUUCUACCCUAAAAUAUAAUGUUGAAACUGAAACAAAAAGGG